Molecule: non-coding RNA, 1588 nt
Organism: Cricetulus griseus (Chinese hamster)
Lineage: Eukaryota; Metazoa; Chordata; Mammalia; Rodentia; Cricetidae
Source: RefSeq, a predicted model, not a curated record
UUUGCCAGCAAUGGCAUCUCCUCCCAGAGAGUCCUGGGGUGGGCUGGAGACCAACAGGUCCACAUUCUGGAUCCCUGGGGUUUGUUGAGGGAACAGGACACCUGUCUCCAACCUCCUCUCCCAUGCUCACCUCUUCUGGCUGUGGUAACAGAGAAAAUACAUCUGAAUGGAAGACAAGGUGGCUCUGCAGGCAGGUAGCUCAGUGUUCCUUCCAGCCUGGUCCUUCAUUCAAGGCCAAAGGUUCCUGAGCCCUCCUACAAGCCUGGAGAGAAAUCCCGCCCAGGGUGGACCUGCUGACAUCCUAGAACCUGUGUGGCUAGGCUUGCGGAGGGAGGCAGGCCAUCGGUUGGCUUCCUCUCAGGUGUCUGCCAGGAUGCCGGUUAGGAGGGGCAGUCUGAAGGAGCCGUGCCUGUCUUCCCCUGCAGUGCUGUAGACUCCCGAGACCAUAUUUGUCUGGGCAAACAUCUGUACUAGACCCCUCACCUGCCAACCUUAUAGCAUCCAAGACCAACUAGCAAGAAGUGCCACCACCACCUCUGGGGUGGCCAUUGUGUUAGUCGGGGUUCUCUUAAAGUCACAGAACUUAUUAAAUGAAUCUCACUCUCCCUUCUCUUUCCCUCUUCCCCCCUUUCUCUAAUACACAUAUAUAUGAAAUUGAAUUCAUUGGAAUGACUUACCAGCUGCAGUCCAACAAUGGCUAGUUAUGAAUGGAAGUCUAAGAAUCUAGUGCCUGCUCAACCCCACCAGGCUGGGUGUCUCAGCUGGUCUGCUGGGAUCCGAGGAAGGGAUGAAUGGGCUGAAGAGAUGAGGACAAGCAGUGCCAGGUGUUGCUUUAGGAUAAACUGAAAACUCAGGCCUACUUGAGCCUUGGCAUGACAGCAGCAUGGUGAAGCUGCAGGUGAGCAACAAGUUGGCCUGAAACCAGAGCCAACUCUCCCCCUGACCAACUGAACAAGAAACCAACCAGUUCCUGAGCAGGAAAACCAACCAGUCCGUGAGCAGGAAAUCUUCUCUCUGGGAACACUCCACCCCUAAGAAGCCAUACAUAAGCCCCUGUACCUGCUCAGUUGCUGGCUGUCCGAUUCUACCCUAGCAGAGGCAGCCACUCUCUUGGAUUCCUCCUUCCCAAAUAAAUCUCUUUCUUAAAGAGUUUUGGGUUAAGAUCUUCUUUUGCCAGCGUGGAGCAGAAGAACCUUUGCUGAGACAUUCCCUUGGGGGUGGGGGCUGAGUCGAAAAGCCAGAAGAAACAGUUACCUCUGCUGGGAAACCCCCUUGUGGGUAGAGCAGAAAAACUAACUUUUCCAAGGAGCCAGAGGAGAUGGCUACAUUACUGCAGGGGUUUCUGCUUUAGCAGAGUGAAGUAGAAGAAGUAAUAUUUUGGGCCAGAGGUGAGCAGAGCAGAAGAAAGGGUAGCUCUGCUAUCAAGUUCCUUUAGAAGAACGGAGCAGAGCUCAGCUGUGAUGAAGAGAGGAGCAGGAUUGCUACAACCUGCAAGGAGACCAUCCCACCAACCCCACCCGGCUUCAGGGGAUCUUACACCUUCACACAGACAAAACAUGAAUCCAGGGGCUGGAGAGAUGGCUCAGAG